GUCUAUGGCCAUACCACCCUGAAUGUGCCUGAUAUUGUCUGAUCUUGGAAGCUAAUCAGGGUCAGGCCUGGUUAGUACUUGGAUAGGAGAACAAAUACCCAAUC
This 104-nucleotide ribosomal RNA is filed under the name Pan paniscus (pygmy chimpanzee). Lineage: Eukaryota; Metazoa; Chordata; Mammalia; Primates; Hominidae. The record is from RNAcentral.